This 357-nucleotide RNase P RNA is filed under the name bovine gut metagenome. RNAcentral's name for it is "Bacterial RNase P class A". It matches the Rfam family "Bacterial RNase P class A". Rfam says of the family: Ribonuclease P (RNase P) is a ubiquitous endoribonuclease, found in archaea, bacteria and eukarya as well as chloroplasts and mitochondria. The record is from RNAcentral.
CGCGCCCGAAAGGGUGAGGAAAGUCCGGACUCCGCAGGACAGGAGACCCGGUCGUCAAGGCCGGGGACGCGGCGGCAAUCGCCGUGUACGGAAAGCGCCACAGAGAAUAGACCGCCGUCCGCAAGGGCGGCAAGGGUGAAAAGGCGGUGUAAGAGACCACCGGGCGCGGGUGAGAGCCCGCCCGCAGGGCAAGCCCUCUCCGGAGCAAGAUCAAAUAGGGAACUAAACGGGCUGUCCGUCCGGUCCGCGCCAUCGGGCGCGGUUAAGUUCCGGGUUGAUCGCGCAAGAUGAAUGAUCGGAGCCCGCCAAUGCGUAACCAAUCGACAAGCGGGUGAACAGAAUCUGGCUUAUUCGCCG